AGUGGGGAAUAUUGGACAAUGGACCAAAAGUCUGAUCCAGCAAUUCUGUGUGCACGAUGAAGGUCUUCGGAUUGUAAAGUGCUUUCAGUUGGGAAGAAGCAAGUGACGGUACCAACAGAAGAAGCGACGGCUAAAUACGUGCCAGCAGCCGCGGUAAUACGUAUGUCGCAAGCGUUAUCCGGAUUUAUUGGGCGUAAAGCGCGUCUAGGCGGAAAAAUAAGUCUGAUGUUAAAAUGCGGGGCUCAACUCCGUAUUGCGUUGGAAACUGUUUUUCUAGAGUACUGGAGAGGUGGGCGGAACUACAAGUGUAGAGGUGAAAUUCGUAGAUAUUUGUAGGAAUGCCGAUGGAGAAGUCAGCUCACUGGACAGAUACUGACGCUAAAGCGCGAAAGCGUGGGGAGCAAA
RNAcentral lists this ribosomal RNA (405 nucleotides) under uncultured Cetobacterium sp. RNAcentral describes it as "bacterial SSU rRNA". It matches the Rfam family "Bacterial small subunit ribosomal RNA", at positions 353 to 772 of the family's 1533-position model. The record is from RNAcentral. Lineage: Bacteria; Fusobacteriati; Fusobacteriota; Fusobacteriia; Fusobacteriales; Fusobacteriaceae.